Molecule: long non-coding RNA, 3418 nt
Filed under: Olea europaea (common olive)
Lineage: Eukaryota; Viridiplantae; Streptophyta; Magnoliopsida; Lamiales; Oleaceae
Description: long non-coding RNA (OEUR_LNC014597)
Source: RNAcentral
AUUCCUUGGACAUUAUGGGUGAUUUUUCUAGCAAUGCGUACCACGACUCUUUCGUUAAGGGAUGUGAACAGAAGAAUGGUGAUGAAAAGAAAGAAGGAGAAGGAGCCGGAAGGAAUAACGAAACUUCCAACAUUCCUGUUCAUGAAGGUUGCUUGUUCAAUGGUGAAUGUAUUCAUCUGAGAGUAUACUGUCCAGAAGAGUAUACAAGUGGACCAUAUGGGUAUAAGUUUAAGUACCAUUUUCACUUCUUCAACUUGUGUAACUGUUGAAACUUUCCAAGGAUUGUCUCUGUUUUCAGUGGCAAUUGCAUGAUCAUCCAUGAUUGCUGCCUUGUCUAGACAACUGAAAAAUUAGCAAUUGCAGUGUUGGAUUUUCUACAAUGGAGAGUGCAGAUUCACAGUUACGUCUUAACAUUACGAUUUCAAUCAUGACAGAACGUUCGGAGGAUAAAAACACAGUUGUUAGCAUCAGAACCUGCCACUGCAGAUAUUUUCCGUCAUUUAUACAGAUAAUUCAAAGUAAUUUCCAUUAUUUCAUUCCUGAGAAACACACUUCGUCUGCACAGUAAUGGAGAAGAACACUGGUUUCAUUUCUAAAGGCGCCAUUUAUUUCCAAGUAGAACAAUCUUUUUGAAGCAGGAGUUCAAAGUAAUUGUUCUAUAUAACUAAGUGAAUUGAGCUAGCAGAGAUGAUUGAGGCCAUGGUUCCAAUUUAGAAAUUAGACACUUAAAAAUGGGAAAAAGUGCUCUCGUUGAUCAGAGUUACACAAGUAACUUUAAAAUUUCACAUUCUUGGUCAAAUUUAUCAGCAAAACAUAUGGAGAUAAAUUGAUUUCAUUUACCUGAGUCGUUCGGUGUGGGGAACUUCUGUGUUGUAAUAUUCAUUCAACAAGCUGGGAUGAGAAGGAUAAGGAAGGGUCCUCUUCUUCCAAGCCAAGAAAAUGACCCUCCACAAGACAGUUAAAGGACUACCUUGAGGCUUCCUAAAUCGGUAUAAAGGCGUCCCACACAGCAAUAUAGCAACAGCUAUAAUCAUCGUCCCAGCCGAUAUUCCAUAUCCCCAUCCUCUGCCUACAUGGUCUUGUAUAUACACUAAAACUGUAACGGCGAACAAGGAUCCAAGGCUAAUAGAGAAAUAAAAUCUAUUGAAGAAAUAGAUCAUUGCCUUCUCCUCUUUAGGAUUUGAUAUGUCAAACUGAUCAGAACCAAAACCAGAGACAUUUGAUUUGAUUCCACCGCCUCCCAAUGCUAUUGUAUAGAGAGCGAUAUAAAGCAUAGCUAGUUGCCUGCCGCUGGCCUCGAUACACUGCUGUCUCCUCGAGUUACUGCACGGAGGAGGCCUCAUGCUAGAAAUGCUUGUGGCCAAUGUCAAUAAUGUUACUCCCUGGUUCAAUGUGUAGGAUUGAUGAAAUUAUUUCUCUUGUAAUUCAUUUACGCAAAAAGUUUUAAAGGCUAUAAAAUUUGCAAUUUAUGCAUCUACAGAGAUAUUAUAUGAGAGACAAAAAUAUAGUGCUGAUAAAGCUUUCGUUACGUGUUUGAUAGAUUCAAUUGGACAACAUUAAACAUGAUAUACGAAGGUUACUGGAUGCUAAUGCUCUGGCUUACCAAAGCAGUUAUAGAAGCAAAGAUUGCAACUGUCAAAUAACGGCCAAGUUUAGCAUCUGCCAAGAAACCACCAAGGAGGCCUAGAAGAUUGAGAGUUCCCAUGAAGUUUGUCACAAUGUUUGCAGAUUGUGCAGAUGAAAGAUGCAAGAUUCCUACUAAAUAAGUCACCAAGUUCAUCGAUAUUCCCAUGACACAAAUUCUCUCAGAUAACUCAGUCCCUGAAACAAGAAUUAAAUACAUUAUUAGCUACUUUUCAAACAUAUAUUACAUCAAAAUGUUAAAAGCAUCACCUAAGAUAAGACCGGCCGCCAGCCAUCCACCAGUUCGUGACCUAUCGACUGGCUUUCCUCGAAAAUCCACCAGAGUUUUAUCACUCUCUCCAUCUUUGCCUCCAUUUUGUUGCACCAAAACCUGUCAUAAACAUUGAUAUGAUGAAAACAAUAUUAUCCAUGCAUUACUACAUAAUUAUCAAGUUGUUCGAAAUAUGGGCUUACCAUUUUCGAGAGAGAAAAGGAGAAGUGAUUCAAUUUCCUUACGCUAGAAGUACGUGUACAACUUCUGUGCUAAGAUUAUGAAUAUAAAGGAAUAUGUCAUAUGUGGAAAUGAAUGAUUGAGGAGAAAACUAAUUGUUGGCAAGAGUUACAUUCAUUUCCCCCUACGUUCUUUGUAUAGUACAAAAAGUGUUUUAUUCAAGAAUUUUUGGAAGUAUCAUCUUGUGGCUGUAAUGUUAAGAACCGUAUUCAGAUCAGAGCUACAGAGAAAUGACAAUGACACUUCAAAGAAAUGGUUCAUAUCUCUAUAGGGCAAUUUCGUGGGACCAGAUUCUGAUAAAAACUCAACACUUGUUACGAUUUGUAUCCCGUGAGUGGGGACAUUGAUCUUAGGCGAAAGUUUGGUAGUAUCUUCACCUGUUGGCUUAGGAAUCGAUGUCUGGUAUUGAUUCUGUCCGAACAUAGUGUUAGACGUGAUACAUCGGUGUAUUGAAUAAAGUUUUGGGUUUAUGAAUUAGUUUGGAAGAGCUUGACAAGUUGAAGAGGGUCCAUGAAGAAAUUGGCAAAAUGACUUUUACACGUAAAUGGCCAAGUACUUGCACCUUGUAAUGAUGACUCAUUGCAAAGGCCAAAAACACCAAGAAAUUUAUCACUCCAAGAACUGCAAGCAUCCAGUAGAAAUUUUCCAAUUUUCCCUUAUUGAGAUUGCUCCUUAGCCAGGUUCCUUUUGUUGCUUUAUCGACUAGAGAAACCAGCAGGCUACUCACAAAAUAACCCAUUGAGAGUGUGCUGAGGAAUAAGCCGGUGCUCAUUGAUUUCAUCCUUUCGGGUGCCUCUCUAAUGAAAAAUUCCAGCUGACCGACGUAUGCAAAUGCUUCACCGGCUCCCACGAGGAAGAACUGAGGGACAAGCCAGAAAGCUCUUAUAUUGAUAAUAUGAUGUGUGGCAUUUUCUCUUCUUUUCUUUUCUACAAGUGCAGCAGCUAUCAUGCCGAUGAUUGAAAAUACCAGUCCAAUUCCUACUCUUUGAAGGCUCGUGAUUCCUUGGACAUUAUGGGUGAUUUUUCUAGCAAUGCGUACCACGACUCUUUCGUUAAGGGAUGUGAACAGAAGAAUGGUGAUGAAAAGAAAGAAGGAGAAGGAGCCGGAAGGAAUAACGAAACUUCCAACAUUCCUGUUCAUGAAGGUUGCUUGUUCAAUGGUGAAUGUAUUCAUCUGAGAGUAUACUGUCCAGAAGAGUAUACAAGUGGACCAUAUGGGUAUAAGUUUAAGUACCAUUUUCACUUCUUCAACUAGUGUAACUGUUGAAACUUUCCAAGGAUUGU